Molecule: microRNA precursor, 161 nt
Filed under: Dichanthelium oligosanthes
Lineage: Eukaryota; Viridiplantae; Streptophyta; Magnoliopsida; Poales; Poaceae
Description: MIR2118 microRNA precursor family
Rfam family: MIR2118 microRNA precursor family
Source: Rfam by way of RNAcentral
GUUAGGAAGAGGAAGAUAACAGGGCCUAGGUGUUGUAGGAAUGGGUACAUGGAGGAAGGCUUAAGCUAUGUUAUUGCUAAAAAAUGGAGGAUGAGACUUGAGUUUUCCCAAUUUCUCCCAUUCCUAUCGUUCUUAGGUGUCCAUUCCUCUUCCUAUCGUUC